This is an RNA transcript of Mauremys reevesii (Reeves's turtle), 2920 nucleotides long. It is a transcript of the gene named nucleolus and neural progenitor protein, with no coding region annotated. NCBI's taxonomy places the organism in Eukaryota, Metazoa, Chordata, Testudines, Geoemydidae. The record is from RefSeq and is a predicted model, not a curated record. The transcript has 11 exons.
CUCCGAGUCCCGCCCGCUUCUCACCACGGCAAGAUGGCGGCGCCCGUGCAGGGGGAGGCGGCGUGGAACCGGUGGCGCGUGCCGUGGCCUGCGAGCAGCGCUACGGUGGCCCUGCCGGCCCAACACCCGGCAGUGAGAUGCCUUCCAGCUGUUGUUAAAGGAUGUUACAAGGUCAGCAUGUUGCUAAAGAGUAAAGCUGUGGAUGCAGAAGGAAAAGUUUUACAUUCGAUCCUUUAUGGUUUCCACAACAGAAUGGCUCACCAUAAAACCUAUUUGUCUCUGAAACAGGUAGAACAAUGCUUAAAGCGUUUAAAUCAGAUGAACUUGAUGGGCUCCAUUCAAGAUCUGGCGGAGUUGUGUCCCAAGAAAAGUAAAUCUGAAAAUGCAGGGAAGUGCUUAGUUCCCAGCCAGCCUGUGACAGAAGUGGUGGCGGUGAAGAUCUUGGGAGGCUGCAAGCUCUUGCUGCGCUUACUGGAGUGUUGCUGCAAAGCAUUUGUCCUGUCUGUUAAGCAUCUGUGUUUGGAAGAAUACAUCCUCUUGAACACUGUGGUUUUGGGAUUGUUGAGCAGAUUAUGGAUUCUCUAUAGGUGUGUAUUACAAAGCCUCAUUUCUUUAUAUGGGGUGUUGUCUGGGUUGCUGCAGGAGGUGUCCAGGACCCAGCAGAUGCCUUAUAUUAAGGGGUUUACCUUCCCUUCUGAAAUCACUGAGUUUCUGGGACCCCUUUAUUUGGAGAUUAAGAAAAGACCUAAAGUACUUGCAACAAAAAAGGCAACUGGAUGGCUGAACAAACUGUUUGCAGGGCCUGCAGCAGCAUCCAGAUGCAGUAAAGAGAGAGGUCCGGCAGCUCCCACAAGGUGCAGCAAGAAGAUGACCAACAUCCAGCACCCCAUUGAUAUUGGGAAGCCGGUUCUGGUGAAGAGAGCUAACCGAGGGAAGCAGUUGGGAUUUGACAUCAAGGCCUUACGUAGGCAACUGAAACCGAGAGUCCAAGAGGAUGUAGACUUCAGGCUAACACUUACUGAUGCAAAAGCAGUGAGAUCUCAGCAUGCCAAAUCCCUUGUGUUGCGGUUUAGAGAAGCCUGCUCUUUCGGAGAACUGUCUGAAGCACUCAAAACAGCCAUUCUCUGCUGCAAAAGCAAAAAGUUCAAGUCAGAAGCUUUCUUUCUGGGAACAAAACUUUUGAAAAGCAAACGGCUGCAGCAUGUGGAGGCUCAGGGCUGCAGCUUACAGAAAAAACUGGGCUGUGUUAAAGCAUCUAUCUGCAAAUACCUUCUCUCUGGCUUGCAAAAGGCACAUUGGCCAAAGCAGUACCGCAGAGCAAGUUCCUGGCAGCAAAGGAAGAUCAAACUGUCCAGGUCAAAAUCUGUCUCAAAGAAGACUCCAGAGUUUGUUCAACAAAACACUUCCAGCCUUUUUGAAGACAGGAUGCCUGGUGCUGUGUCCGUCUUUCCUUCUCAGCAGUGUGAGCAUUCACUUCACCUAAGAAAAGCAGGAGACUGUAGUGCUACCAGGCAUGUUGAAGAACAAGACAAAGUGGUGACCUCUGAACCUGUGGCGCUGGAAAGAAACCCUGGGCCUACAGUGAAAGGGACUAGUGAGAACGAUGAUAUUGAUGACAUUUUUGCAGCAAUGGGUGUAUAACUCUGGUGUGGUGAUGUGGGGGAAAAGUACAAGGGCUCUAGUCCUACUGCAUGAUGAUGAGACCUGUGGUAUAAGUGCUGCAAUCACAGAAUGUAGCAUAAAACACCAUGUUAGAAACCAACUAGAGGACAAGAUUCCUCUAGCAUGUGGAAAGAGCUGGGCCACCUGCUUCUGGCUAUCAAAGAAACGCCUCCCUUGCCCUGAGCGAAGAUUUAAAAUACUUUCUAUGCAUCACAGCAGCGUAAGCACGGAGGAGGUGACCUGGUACAGCAGUUCCCAUGAUGCCAUUGAAAUCUUGCCUUUAGCACAAUGCCCCAGUGAUCUGUUUUCACUUAGAAGAAUGUUGGGGGUGUAUGGAAUACUCUGUUAUACAGCACCUACAAUGGGCUGCUGGUCCACAACUGGUGCUGCUAGGCACAGACAAAAUAAUUUAUUAUAAAGUGCCAUGCCUCCUUAAAACCAAUCUUUACAAUGGUGCCCACAAGAAAGGAGAUAUAAGAUGGGGUAGCUUUGAUCUUCCAUCCUCUGGGCUACCUUUAAGUAUCCUAUCUCACUUCUCCUGUAAACACUUCAGCAUAGACACACUGUAUAUUUAACACCAGUGGGGGUGGUGCUGUAUAAGUAUUCAAAUUAAGGUACAUUACAGUAAAUCUAAAGACUGAUGAUGAUUAUUGGGAAGUGGGAAGAGACAUGCAUGUCUUUGUUCUAGAGAUUUCUAUUUAAUGAUACCUGGCUUUCAGAGUAACUACUCAACUCCUGAACCAUGCAUAAAAGGUUUCCCCUACACAAGUUUUUUGAUCUUAUUCUUUGCAUACAAAUAAACUAAAAUGUCUACAAAAGUCCUCUAGGCUGUUAUUUACAAGGUUAAAUGCUAGGUUCAGGCAAUAGGCUUGAGUAGUCCUGCAGGGUAAUACAGUAGGCCAAUCUUAGAAGUUGUCUAUUUCUUAGUGGGUUGAUUAAUAGUUUUUUCCAUAUAAUGGAUUCUCACAGCAGAGUGCAGCUAAAUCUAGUGAAGGUGAGCCUAGAGUCACAGCUAACUGAAGCAAAAUCUAAAAAGUCAGCAUCCUCACUAAUAUCUGGCAGCACACACAAAAAAAGCAAAGCUAUUUAUAUGAAAAAAAAUUAUAUAUAUUAGCUUAAGACCCCAUUGUGGGCCUAAGACUACUGGACAUGCAGCAUUUUAGUGCAAAUAAAUUCUUGUUCCUUAUGUGGAAAUAUUCUCACAUGCCUGAAUAUAUUUAACAUCACAGACUCAAAGCAAGAGAAGUGAAUGAACUGU